AUGGAGGGGCUUUGGGGGAGUCCCAGGAGGGCUCAGGGGAGGGAUGGGGCGCCAGGGAGGAUUUUGGGGGUCCUGGGAGGGUUUUUUGGGGGCUCAGGGUGCCAGGGAGGAUUUUGGGGGUCCUGGGAGGGUUUCUGGGGGCUCAGGGUGCUUGGGAAGAUUUUGGGGGUCCUGGGAAGGUUUUUUGGGGGGGGUCCAGAGUGGUUGUGUAGUCCCAGGGGGAAUUUGGGGCCCUCAGAGGAGGAAUUGGGGUGCCCAGGGAACAUCUCUGGUGAGUUUUGGGAUGCGGGGGGGGUUCAGCUUCCCGGGCAGAAAGGCGGGGGUGGUCCCAAGGGGCUCUGCGGGGUCCCAGGGGUGCUCCUGGGGGCUCUGUGGGGUCCCAGGGGUGCUCCGGGGGGCUCUGCAGGGUCCCAGGGGUGCUCCUGGGGGGCCCGGGGGUGGUUUGGGGGCAGCUCCGCACCGUCCCAGCCCCCGUCGGGCUCCGCGGAGGUCUCGGGCUCCGGCAGCUCCUCCGAGUCCUCGAUCUGGGGGGGGUUUGAGUGUUUCAGGGCAGUGUUUGAGGCACUCGGGGGUGUUUGGGGGCGGUUUUGGGUGUCUGGGGGCACUCUGGGGUGUUUCUGGGGGCACUCUGGGGUGUUUCUGGGGGCAGUUUGGGUGUUUCUGGGGCAGUUUGGGGGCAGUUUUGGGUGUCUGGGGAUAUUCUGGGGGCAGUUUCAGGUGUCUGGGGUAGUCUGGGGCCCCCCGGGCUGUUUCGGGGCACUCUGGGGUGUUUCUGGUGGCAGUUUCAGGUGUCUGGGGGCACUCUGGGGUGUUUCUGGGGGCAGUUUGGGGGCAGUUUUGGGUCUCUGGGGGCACUCUGGGGUGUUUCUGGGGGCAGUUUGGGGUGUUUCAGGGCAGUUUGGGGGCAGUUUCAGGUGUCUGGGGGCAGUUUGGGGGCAGUUUUGGGUCUCUGGGGGCAGUUUGGGGGCAGUUUCAGGUGUCUGGGGGCAGUUUGGGGGCAGUUUUGGGUCUCUGGGGGCACUCUGGGGGCAGUUUGGGGGCAGUUUUGGGUGUUUCAGGGCACUCUGGGGUCAGUUUUAG
This 1080-nucleotide long non-coding RNA is filed under the name Taeniopygia guttata (zebra finch). RNAcentral's name for it is "lncRNA (ENSTGUG00000023475.1)". The record is from RNAcentral. Lineage: Eukaryota; Metazoa; Chordata; Aves; Passeriformes; Estrildidae.